GAUGAACGCUGGCGGCGUGCCUAAUACAUGCAAGUAGAACGCUGAAGGAAGGAGCUUGCUCUUUCCGGAUGAGUUGCGAACGGGUGAGUAACGCGUAGGUAACCUGCCUGGUAGCGGGGGAUAACUAUUGGAAGCGAUAGCUAAUACCGCAUAACAGUAGAUGUUGCAUGAUAUCUACUUAAAAGGUGCAAUUGCACCACUACCAGAUGGACCUGCGUUGUAUUAGCUAGUUGGUGAGGUAACGGCUCACCAAGGCGACGAUACAUAGCCGACCUGAGAGGGUGAUCGGCCACACUGGGACUGAGACACGGCCCAGACUCCUACGGGAGGCAGCAGUAGGGAAUCUUCGGCAAUGGACGGAAGUCUGACCGAGCAACGCCGCGUGAGUGAAGAAGGUUUUCGGAUCGUAAAGCUCUGUUGUAAGAGAAGAACGAGUGUGAGAGUGGAAAGUUCACACUGUGACGGUAUCUUACCAGAAAGGGACGGCUAACUACGUG
This 497-nucleotide ribosomal RNA is filed under the name uncultured bacterium. Its description in RNAcentral is "partial 16S ribosomal RNA". It matches the Rfam family "Bacterial small subunit ribosomal RNA", at positions 28 to 507 of the family's 1533-position model. The record is from RNAcentral.